AGCCCUGAGCUAAUAUCCGUUGCCAAUCCUCCUCUUUUUGAUGGGGAAGAUUGGCCCUAGGCUAACAUCUGUGCCCAUCUUCCUCUACUUUAUAUGGGACGCCACCACAGCAUGGCUUGACAAUCGGUGCAUCGGUGCGUGCCUGGGAUCCGAACCUGUGAACCCCAGACCACCGAAGCAGAGCAUGCGCACUCAACCACUACACCACUGGGCUGGCCCCAAGAUUCAUAUAUUUUGAUGGACUAUAAGCAUUUGGAAUACAUCAUCUCACUGCUCUGUGGUCUCAAAGUUUCUGAUGAGAAAUCUGCUGAUAAUCUUACUGAGGAUCUCAUAAGCUUCAUGGACCCUCAAAGCACAUCCAGACCUCAAGUUGCAAAACUCUGCUCUAUCAGAAAAAUCCAAAACAUGGAGAAAUCUAUAGGAUAACUGAUUCAGUGUCUUCAACAAAUCAAUGGCGCAAAAAAACUGAGGAGAGUGUAAAUGUUUAAGAGUCUUAGGAAGCAUAACAAUCAAAUGCUGCAUAUAGACCUUGUUUGAAGUCUGAUUCAAGCAAAUUAAGUAUAAAAAGGGCUUUUGGGGGGACAACCAGGGAAAUUUGCAUAGAGUAUUGGAUGAUAUUAAGGAAUUAUUAUUUUGUUAGAUGUGAAAAUCAGUAUGUGAGAUUUUAUUUUUUAGAGAUGAGUUUCAAAGUAUUUAGGGUUGAAAUAUGAUGUCUGGGAUUUAUUUUAAAAUACCUCAUCAAAGAAAAAAACAGAUGAAGCAUUUAUGCAAGAUGUUUAUAAUUAAAUCUAGGUGAUGGGGAUUUGGGAGUUCAUUAUCAUACUUUCUUCUACUUUUGUGAUUGAAAUUUUUCAUACUGAGGAGAAAAUACAAACAAGUCCUGCUCUCUGCCUUUCUGGCAAAGAUAAGAGGAUAUCAGGGUUGUCACAGCCAGUACCAAGGUUUUGAGGCUCCCUGGAGAGCCAUCCAUGGACAGGAACCUGACUCUAGGACCACAACAGUUAGACUAUUUUUUUGUCACUCUGUUUUGUUUGUCUGUUUUUGACCAGAGGACCCACAGAUAUCCUGCAAAAUGAAUUAGAUAGAUAUUGCUAUUCCUUUUCUGGGUCUUUUGAGGAAUUUGUCCCAUUUCAUGUAUGUUGUCAAAUUUAUGGGCAUAGAGUUGUUCAUAGUAGUCUUUAUCCUUUUA
Molecule: long non-coding RNA, 1189 nt
Organism: Diceros bicornis minor
Lineage: Eukaryota; Metazoa; Chordata; Mammalia; Perissodactyla; Rhinocerotidae
Exons: 3
Source: RefSeq, a predicted model, not a curated record